RNAcentral lists this ribosomal RNA (432 nucleotides) under uncultured bacterium. Its description in RNAcentral is "partial 16S ribosomal RNA". It matches the Rfam family "Bacterial small subunit ribosomal RNA", at positions 29 to 506 of the family's 1533-position model. The record is from RNAcentral.
AACGAACGCUGGCGGCAUGCCUAACACAUGCAAGUCGAACGAGACCUUCGGGUCUAGUGGCGCACGGGUGCGUAACGCGUGGGAACCUGCCCUUAGGUUCGGAAUAACUCCCCGAAAGGUGUGCUAAUACCGGUUAAUGUCUUCGCACAAAAGAUUUAGCGCCUUUGGAUGGGCCCGCGUUGGAUUAGCUAGUUGGUAGGGGAAAAGCCUACCAAGGCGACGAUCCAUAGCUGGUCUGAGAGGAUGAUCAGCCACACUGGGACUGAGACACGGCCCAGACGCCUACGAGAGGCAGCGGUGGGGAAUAUUGGACAGUGGGCGAAAGCCUGAACCAGCAAUGCCGGGUGAGUGAUGAAGGCCUUGGAGUUGUAAAGCGCUUUUGCCCGGGAUGAUAAUGACAGUACCGGGAGAAUAAGCCCCGGCUAACUCCGU